RNAcentral lists this non-coding RNA (25 nucleotides) under Bos taurus (domestic cattle). Lineage: Eukaryota; Metazoa; Chordata; Mammalia; Artiodactyla; Bovidae. The record is from miRBase by way of RNAcentral.
CAUGGUCCCUGUUCUCUGCCCCAGA